AACGAACGCUGGCGGCAGGCCUAACACAUGCAAGUCGAGCGAGACCUUCGGGUCUAGCGGCGACGGGUUAGUAACGCGUGGGAACGUGCCCUUCUCUGCGGAAUAGCCACUGGAAACGGUGAGUAAUACCGCAUACGCCCUUCGGGGGAAAGAUUUAUCGGAGAAGGAUCGGCCCGCGUUAGAUUAGAUAGUUGGUGGGUAACGGCCUACCAAGUCUACGAUCUAUAGCUGGUUUUAGAGGAUGAUCAGCAACACUGGGACUGAGACACGGCCCAGACUCCUACGGGAGGCAGCAGUGGGGAAUCUUAGACAAUGGGCGCAAGCCUGAUCUAGCCAUGCCGCGUGUGUGAUGAAGGUCUUAGGAUCGUAAAGCACUUUCGCCAGGGAUGAUAAUGACAGUACCUGGUAAAGAAACCCCGGCUAACUCCGUG
Molecule: ribosomal RNA, 431 nt
Filed under: uncultured bacterium
Lineage: Bacteria
Description: bacterial SSU rRNA
Rfam family: Bacterial small subunit ribosomal RNA
Source: RNAcentral